UACGGAGGGUGCAAGCGUUGUUCGGAAUUAUUGGGCGUAAAGAGCGUGUAGGCGGCCUGGUAAGUCAGAUGUGAAAGCCCUUGGCUUAACCAAGGAAGGGCAUUUGAAACUGCCGGGCUUGAGUACGGGAGGGGGAAGCGGAAUUCCCGGUGUAGAGGUGAAAGUCGUAGAUAUCGGGAGGAACACCGGUGGCGAAGGCGGCUUCCUGGACCGAUACUGACGCUGAGACGCGAAAGCGUGGGGAGCAAACAGG
This 253-nucleotide ribosomal RNA is filed under the name uncultured bacterium. RNAcentral's name for it is "partial 16S ribosomal RNA". It matches the Rfam family "Bacterial small subunit ribosomal RNA", at positions 524 to 776 of the family's 1533-position model. The record is from RNAcentral.